AAGCCUCGUCUUCGGUGGUCAAGUCAGGUUUCAGGAUUCUUGAGAAGUUCUUGAGUACCGCGCGGGAUCGGACUCGAAGGUAAUCCUAGCAACAUUAACUCUUUUGACAGUAUGUGAAGAUUGACAUUAUUAAACGCACCGAUGAUAUCG
Molecule: long non-coding RNA, 150 nt
Organism: Hyposmocoma kahamanoa
Lineage: Eukaryota; Metazoa; Arthropoda; Insecta; Lepidoptera; Cosmopterigidae
Exons: 3
Source: RefSeq, a predicted model, not a curated record